Molecule: long non-coding RNA, 603 nt
Organism: Dendrobium catenatum
Lineage: Eukaryota; Viridiplantae; Streptophyta; Magnoliopsida; Asparagales; Orchidaceae
Exons: 2
Source: RefSeq, a predicted model, not a curated record
CAAAUUUAAACGCUUCUCCCCUUCGGUUUCACUGAUGAGCGGUUUUUGAUUUAGCGAUGGCUUCAGUGAGGAACUUCUUUAUAAACCUCUGCCAUCGCUUCUUUGGGUUAUUUCGCUCCUCUUCAGAUCCACUCCUCACUGAUUUUGGAACUCUUCAGACCUGCUCCUUUGAUAGAGUAGCAAAAUAAGUUUUUCACAAAGCCUUCUCACUAACGAAGCCUACCUUCCCGCGUCCCGUCUUUCCCUCUUCUUACUCGCAUGCAGUCCAACCUUUUUUUUCCUUGCUCUUGAGACCGUCCACCCCGGCUAUCCCUUCUCUCUUCUUGCGUGCAAUACCUCAUCUCUCUCCAAGAACAGCAAUGAUUUUUAUUUCAUGGAGAUAUUGACACUAAGAAGCUUCAUUUGAUCUCUUUCAACGAAACUUACCAAAAAAAAAGACGGUGGCUUAGGCUUUCCUUCUCUAAAUGUUAUAAAUCAUGCUUAUUGUUGCUUCCUCGUACAAUGGCUUUUUCCUGGUGAUGUUUUCCUUGCCAUAUUGUGUAACUGCAAAUAUACUUCCCUAUGGAAGACGGAAUCAUUAAAAGCUUGCAACUGUUGGAACAA